CUACGUGCCAGCAGCCGCGGUAAUACGUAUGUCACAAGCGUUAUCCGGAUUUAUUGGGCGUAAAGCGCGUCUAGGUGGUUAUGUAAGUCUGAUGUGAAAAUGCAGGGCUCAACUCUGUAUUGCGUUGGAAACUGCAUGACUAGAGUACUGGAGAGGUAAGCGGAACUACAAGUGUAGAGGUGAAAUUCGUAGAUAUUUGUAGGAAUGCCGAUGGGGAAGCCAGCUUACUGGACAGAUACUGACGCUAAAGCGCGAAAGCGUGGGUAGCAAACAGGAUUAGAUACCCUGGUAGUCCACGCCGUAAACGAUGGGUGCUAGGUGUUAGACCCUUUCCGGGGUUUAGUGCCGUAGCUAACGCAUUAAGCACUCCGCCUGGGGAGUACGACCGCAAGGUUGAAACUCAAAGGAAUUGACGGGGGCCCGCACAAGCGGUGGAGCAUGUGGUUUAAUUCGAAGCAACGCGAAGAACCUUACCAGGUCUUGACAUCCCUCUGACCGCUCUAGAGAUAGAGCUUUCCUUCGGGACA
RNAcentral lists this ribosomal RNA (527 nucleotides) under uncultured bacterium. RNAcentral's name for it is "bacterial SSU rRNA". It matches the Rfam family "Bacterial small subunit ribosomal RNA", at positions 501 to 1028 of the family's 1533-position model. The record is from RNAcentral.